Molecule: ribosomal RNA, 253 nt
Filed under: uncultured bacterium
Lineage: Bacteria
Description: partial 16S ribosomal RNA
Rfam family: Bacterial small subunit ribosomal RNA
Source: RNAcentral
UACAGAGGUCCCAAGCGUUGUUCGGAUUCACUGGGCGUAAAGGGUGCGUAGGUGGUAAGGCAAGUCAGGUGUGAAAUCUCCGGGCUCAACCCGGAAAUGGCAUUCGAAACUACCUUGCUAGAGGGUUUGAGGGGGGACUGGAAUACUUGGUGUAGCAGUGAAAUGCGUAGAUAUCAAGUGGAACACCAGUGGCGAAGGCGAGUCCCUGGACCGAGAUUGACACUGAUGAGCGAAAGCUAGGGGAGCAAACGGG